This 377-nucleotide ribosomal RNA is filed under the name uncultured cyanobacterium. Its description in RNAcentral is "bacterial SSU rRNA". It matches the Rfam family "Bacterial small subunit ribosomal RNA", at positions 376 to 770 of the family's 1533-position model. The record is from RNAcentral. Lineage: Bacteria; Bacillati; Cyanobacteriota.
CGAAAGCCUGACGGAGCAAGACCGCGUGAGGGAUGAAAGCCUAAUGGUUGUAAACCUCUUUUAUUGGGGAAGAUAAUGACGGUACCCAAUGAAUAAGCAUCGGCUAACUCCGUGCCAGCAGCCGCGGUAAUACGGAGGAUGCAAGCGUUAUCCGGAAUGAUUGGGCGUAAAGCGUCCGCAGGUGGCUGUGUAAGUCUGCUGUUAAAGAGUCUAGCUCAACUAGAUAAGAGCAGUGGAAACUACACAGCUAGAGUACGUUCGGGGCAGAGGGAAUUCCUGGUGUAGCGGUGAAAUGCGUAGAGAUCAGGAAGAACACCGGUGGCGAAGGCGCUCUGCUAGGCCGUAACUGACACUGAGGGACGAAAGCUAGGGGAGCG